Molecule: ribosomal RNA, 492 nt
Filed under: uncultured bacterium
Lineage: Bacteria
Description: partial 16S ribosomal RNA
Rfam family: Bacterial small subunit ribosomal RNA
Source: RNAcentral
AGUGAACGCUGGCGGUAGGCCUAACACAUGCAAGUCGAACGGCAGCACAGUAAGAGCUUGCUCUUACGGGUGGCGAGUGGCGGACGGGUGAGGAAUACAUCGGAAUCUACUUUUUCGUGGGGGAUAACGUAGGGAAACUUACGCUAAUACCGCAUACGACCUACGGGUGAAAGCAGGGGAUCUUCGGACCUUGCGCGAUUGAAUGAGCCGAUGUCGGAUUAGCUAGUUGGCGGGGUAAAGGCCCACCAAGGCGGCGAUCCGUAGCUGGUCUGAGAGGAGGAUCAGCCACACUGGAACUGAGACACGGUCAAGACUCCUACGGGAGGCAGCAGUGGGGAAUAUUGGACAAUGGGCGCAAGCCUGAUCCAGCCAUACCGCGUGGGUGAAGAAGGCCUUCGGGUUGUAAAGCCCUUUUGUUGGGAAAGAAAAGCAGCAGGUUAAUACCCCGCUGUUCUGACGGUACCCAAAGAAUAAGCACCGGCUAACUUCGUG